RNAcentral lists this ribosomal RNA (431 nucleotides) under uncultured bacterium. RNAcentral describes it as "bacterial SSU rRNA". It matches the Rfam family "Bacterial small subunit ribosomal RNA", at positions 29 to 506 of the family's 1533-position model. The record is from RNAcentral.
UUGAACGCUGGCGGCGUGGCUAAAGCAUGCAAGUCGAACGAACCCGCAAGGGUGAGUGGCGAAAGGGUCAGUAACACGAUCGAACGUACCCCGAGGUGGGGGAUAGCCGUGGGAAACUGCGGGUAAUACCCCAUGAUCUCUCCGGAGCAAAGGUUUACCGCCUUGGGCUCGGCGAUCGUCCUAUCAGCUAGUUGGCGGGGUAAAGGCCCACCAAGGCGAUGACGGGUAGCAGGUGUGAGAGCACGACCUGCGACAUCGGGACUGAGACACUGCCCGGACUCCUACGGGAGGCUGCAGCGACGAAUCUUCCGCAAUGGGCGCAAGCCUGACGGAGCGACGCCGCGUGUGGGACGAAGCGCCUUCGGCGUGUAAACCACUGUCAGGGGAUAGAACCAAUGAUCAUCCCCAAAGGAAGAGACGGCUAACCCUGU